This is an RNA transcript of Vicia villosa (hairy vetch), 2518 nucleotides long. It is a transcript of the gene named protein PECTIC ARABINOGALACTAN SYNTHESIS-RELATED-like, with no coding region annotated. The record is from RefSeq and is a predicted model, not a curated record. The transcript is spliced from 6 exons. NCBI's taxonomy places the organism in Eukaryota, Viridiplantae, Streptophyta, Magnoliopsida, Fabales, Fabaceae.
CCCGACAAAAGUGCUUAUUUUCCAAAAGGUAUUUUUUUUCUCUCAUCUUUCUCACAUAACAACAACAAUACACUCAAAUUCUUCAUCUAGUUUUUCAGAAAAAAUUGAUAAAACAAACAACCAACAAUCAGAUUCAGUUUUUGAUUUGGAAUUGUUUCAAUUUCGGUUUCGCGGUUCUAUUUGAGCUUCACGAGUAUGUUUGGUUUUCGCGAAGGUUUUUUUGUUCAGAAACCAAUUGCUACUCAGUUAUGUUUUGCUUCGAGUUUGGAGGUUUCGACUCAGUGCGGAGUUUGGAUUCGAGCAGAGCUUUUUCAAGGUUCAUAUUUUGCAUUCGAGCCAAGUUUUCGAUUUUGGUUUAAAUUAAAAUUAAAGCUAGUAUACAACAUCGUAAAGCUAAAUUGGAUGAUCGCUUACCAGUUCAAAUGAAGAAAAAUGCAGAUUUUAUCCUUUCUCGCAAGGAAAUUUGAAGACAUUUUUGACGUGGACCACUUCAUUGACUACUUAAAGUAUGAUGUCCGUAUUGUCCGCGAUAUCCCAGAAUGGUUUAAUGAUAAAACAGAGCUAUUUUCUAGUAUAAGGUUUGAUAGAUUCUUGUCCCUUUGAGUAGGGUAUGUUGAAAAUAUAAAUCCCAAGCUGCAGCCAGUGAUGAAGAACUAUUUACAUAUGCACAAGGAAUGUGUCAUGUAUCUAGUGAAAGGACUUCUUUAUACGAAAGUGGAGGAGUAAAUCUUAGCCAUAUAACUGUUUAUGGAUGGUCAAGAUUGAAUGUUUUUCUAAUGGUCCACCAUUUAAAAAGUCACAUGAUUUUAUCUUCUGACCCCGACAUUUCAUGGUUCGAUCUAAGGGCCAAGUUUUAUUCCUCUACUAGCGUAAAGAUGACCUUCUCGAUAUGUCUCCACCUACUCUGAAAGUAAAUUGUCAAAGUUAGUCUAUUUAAUAACUCAUUGUAGAUAUUUAAGUUUCAUCAAUUCAAUGUCUACAAAGAAGUUGCUAAAUGAAUUAACUAUGACAAAAGUUACUUUUGAACUAAGGUGGUCUCAAUCAGAUGUGUCUGUGUGUUUGUGUAAUAUCAAUUUGAGGGAUUGAUUAGUAUGGCCAAAGCCAGUAUCAUGCUUGUUUGUUGUUUCAUUCAUGAACUGAUUGACAUAAGGUUUGGUUGAUCUGCUGCAUUUUGUUAUCAAAUGGCGUUCAAUUAUGAUUUUGCAGUUAGAUUCCAGUGCCUUUUAUUUCAGUCUGUCAAACGCACAAAUUCCCCUGCCAGUAUGUAAAAACUAGUUUUUAUGUUGGUUUUCUAUUUCAUCCGAGGAUUUAUUUACAUGGAUUUUGGUUCAAGUGCUGAGUGUAUAGACCAAAUAGCUUGACUAUUAUGAGUUUAAAUUACUUCUUCACUAUGAAUAUCCUGCAUUGAUGAUGGUUUGAGAGGCCAUGGGUUGUUGUGAAUGGACAGAGAAGACACAAACCAAAUCUCCUUUGUAUAUGCCUUUUAUAUUCAACUUUUUACAUGCUACUCUUAACUUUGGCAAAUUAUUAAUACUGUUAUCAACAUUUUCCAAUAAUUGCUCAAUAUUGAUGCCACUGACUUGACUAACAAAGCAAGAAUGUGUUGUCUUUCAGACGAACUCUGAAGAACAUUCCAAAAUAUGCACCUACACAGUUUUACAUUGACAAUGUUCUGCCUCGCAUCAAGGAGAAAAAGAUUAUGGCUCUGAAACCAUUUGUUGAUAGGCUAGGAUAUGACAAUGUUCCUUCAGAAAUCAACAAGUUGAGAUGUAGAGUCAAUUAUCACGCUUUGAAGUUUCUUCCUGAUAUAGAGCAGAUGGCAGAUUUAUUAGCAUCGAGGAUGAGAAACAGAACAGGCAGUUCAAACCCAUAUAUGGUUUAGUGCCCCUAGCUGGCUCAAACAAUGAAUCAUAGUGCCAAGGUCUAGACGAUCUUGCUUCUCGUUCGACUGCAUAAUACCAGCAAGGUGCCAGUUUCGCCAAAUGGUAAGUGUAUGCUUGCAUUGGUACUACUUGUCAUGAUCAUUUUAUUAACCAUACGAGUUUCUAUCGUAUAUUAGGCGUACUGUCGUGAGCAUCCCCAACAGUCCUUCUGCUCUUGCUGUCAAGGAAGCAGCAUGGGGUCUUGCUCGCUAUGCUGCAAUUAGUCAGAUUUGAGAAAGAUUUGAUUAAAUCGUCUUCGACUACUGUCUUUAGUUCAAAAUCAAAAGGUUGAGGAGCAAAAUCUACAAGAUCAAAUGCAAAUGGUUGAAGAGGAUAAAGACAUGAAAAUGUGGCCAAAACAAAAAUCAAAGAAGAAGAAAACUUAUAUAUGAAGAAAGUGUUAUGACUUAGUUAAAAUAUAAUUUUUAUGUAUAUGAUUUUAUAGUAUGAUUUUAUAGUACUUGAAAUAUUAUGACUGUACAUGAUUUUGUAUACUUUUUGGUUAAUAUUAAAAAUAUUUUGACUUAGUUAAAAUAUGAUUUUUAUGUAUAUGAUUUUAUAGUAUUUGCAAUAUUAUGACUGAAAAUAAAAUAUAA